UCGUAAUCAUGAGAUUUGGACUACCGAAAUUAGCAUCCUGUUUCUGUGCCUCUGUGUUAAUCAGUACUCAGUUAAUCAGUCUAUGAUUCUACAAGCUGCUAUUUUUUCGAAGCCCAACUCGUCGGGGGUACUUGCUACGACCUUUAAUGCUGUUAUCAGGAAGUCUAGGCUUCUGGCCAUGUAUCAUUAAAUCGGACAACGGAUUUUUUUAUGUUCUAUAUCUGAAUGUGGGAACAACUCCAACAUUUUAACGGUAUAAAAGGCGGUGAUCCGCGCAGUUGUAGUAGAAGGGAGUAGGAAGAGUAUUCCGUCAAACCUGCGGGAAUGAUACCUUAAAUCUGUAAAAGAAAAGUUUGAAUUAUUUCAGAUUGUCCUUAUGGACCACCCUCCCCUUAAUUAGAACUGCCGUUCCAAGGUCCGCUUGUACCCGUUCUUCUGAGUACAGCGGGGUUAGCUUGUUCCCUAGUCUUUUGUUAUUCCUUGGGUAAACCUUUUCACCCACUUCAAAGACUCUGUUCUGCCUUGAGAUGUUAAACCUGUCGAUA
This 545-nucleotide long non-coding RNA is filed under the name Drosophila guanche. Lineage: Eukaryota; Metazoa; Arthropoda; Insecta; Diptera; Drosophilidae. The record is from RNAcentral.